GACGAACGCUGGCGGCGUGCCUAACACAUGCAAGUCGAACGGAAAGGCCCUGCUUUUGUGCGGUGCUCGUGUGGCGAACGGGUGAGUAACACGUGAGUAACCUGUACCUGACUUUGGGAUAUCCUCAGGAAACAGGGGCUCUUACCGGAUAGGAUCUAUUGCUGCAUGGUGGGGGUUGGAAAGAUUCGGUGGUUGGGGCUGGACUAGCGGCCUAUCCGCUUGAUGGUGGGGUAGUGGCUUACAAAGGCUAGGACGGGUAGCCGGCCUGCGAGGGUUACCGGCCACAUUGGGACUGAGAGACGGACCAGACGCCAACGGGAGGCAGCAGUGGAGAGUAUUACACAGUGGGCGGGAGCCUGAUGCAGCAACGCCGCGUGCGGGAUGACGGCCUGCGGGUUGUAAACCAAUGUCGCCUGUGACGAGGCGUGAGUGACGGUAAUGGGUAAAGAAGCACCGGCUAACUACGUG
Molecule: ribosomal RNA, 468 nt
Filed under: uncultured bacterium
Lineage: Bacteria
Description: partial 16S ribosomal RNA
Rfam family: Bacterial small subunit ribosomal RNA
Source: RNAcentral